This 496-nucleotide ribosomal RNA is filed under the name uncultured bacterium. Its description in RNAcentral is "bacterial SSU rRNA". It matches the Rfam family "Bacterial small subunit ribosomal RNA", at positions 26 to 518 of the family's 1533-position model. The record is from RNAcentral.
AGGAUGAACGCUAGCUACAGGCUUAACACAUGCAAGUCGAGGGGUAGCAGGGUAGCAAUACCGCUGACGACCGGCGCACGGGUGAGUAACACGUAUCCAACCUUCCCAUAACUCAGGGAUAGCCUUUCGAAAGAAAGAUUAAUACCUGAUAGUACUUUUUCAAGGCAUCUUGAGAAAGUUAAAGAUUUAUUGGUUAUGGAUGGGGAUGCGUUCCAUUAGAUAGUUGGUGAGGUAGCGGCUCACCAAGUCUUCGAUGGAUAGGGGUUCUGAGACGGAAGGUCCCCCACAUUGGUACUGAGACACGGACCAAACUCCUACGGGAGGCAGCAGUGAGGAAUAUUGGUCAAUGGGCGAGAGCCUGAACCAGCCAAGUAGCGUGAAGGAUGAAGGUCCUAUGGAUUGUAAACUUCUUUUAUAGUAGAAUAAAGUGAUCCACGUGUGGAUUUUUGUAUGUAUACUAUGAAUAAGGAUCGGCUAACUCCGUGCCAGCCGCUGC